GUGUCGAUGAAGAACGCAGCCAACUGUGUGAAUUAAUGUGAAUUGCAGACUGCUUUGAACAUCGACUUCUUGAACGCACAUUGCGGCCGUAGGCUUGCCUAGGGCCACGUCUUGCCGAGGGUCGGCU
This 127-nucleotide ribosomal RNA is filed under the name Ligula intestinalis. RNAcentral describes it as "partial 5.8S ribosomal RNA". It matches the Rfam family "5.8S ribosomal RNA", at positions 30 to 154 of the family's 154-position model. Rfam says of the family: 5.8S ribosomal RNA (5.8S rRNA) is a component of the large subunit of the eukaryotic ribosome. The record is from RNAcentral. Lineage: Eukaryota; Metazoa; Platyhelminthes; Cestoda; Diphyllobothriidea; Diphyllobothriidae.